This is a non-coding RNA of Meleagris gallopavo (turkey), 282 nucleotides long. NCBI's taxonomy places the organism in Eukaryota, Metazoa, Chordata, Aves, Galliformes, Phasianidae. The record is from RefSeq and is a predicted model, not a curated record.
UGCCAUUUCUCCCAUUUCCAGGCUGGAAAAUGAGAGACUCUAUCCCCAAAUUAAUUACCAGCUAUUUGGAGAAGAAAUUUAACUCUGACUUGCUGAUCACACACACGCUGCCAUUUGCUAAAAUCAACGAGGGAUUUGAAUUGCUACGUGCAGGCAAAAGCAUUCGCAGCGUGCUGCUCUUCUGAAGGAUGCGAUCGGGGCAGCACGAGUGCAGCACACAGCCCAGCAGAUGCCCUCCUGUGCGGGCCCUUCCCUCCCCCGUCGCCCUUCAUGGACUGCAAA